GGACUCUCAACGGGGUGUCUGCGUUUGUCCGCAGGCUGAGAUCAGACCCGCGGAACCUGAUCCGGAUCAUGCCGGCGCAGGGAUUGAGUAUCUCAAGGCC
Molecule: non-coding RNA, 100 nt
Filed under: Marinobacter nanhaiticus
Lineage: Bacteria; Pseudomonadati; Pseudomonadota; Gammaproteobacteria; Pseudomonadales; Marinobacteraceae
Description: TPP sequence
Rfam family: TPP riboswitch aptamer (THI element)
About the family: Vitamin B(1) in its active form thiamin pyrophosphate (TPP) is an essential coenzyme that is synthesised by coupling of pyrimidine and thiazole moieties in bacteria. The previously detected thiamin-regulatory element, thi box was extended, resulting in a new, highly conserved RNA secondary structure, the THI element, which is widely distributed in eubacteria and also occurs in some archaea.
Source: RNAcentral